UGAGAGCUUGCUCUCAAGAAGUUAGCGGCGGACGGGUGAGUAACACGUGGGUAACCUGCCCAUAAGACUGGGAUAACUCCGGGAAACCGGGGCUAAUACCGGAUAACAUUUUGAACUGCAUGGUUCGAAAUUGAAAGGCGGCUUCGGCUGUCACUUAUGGAUGGACCCGCGUCGCAUUAGCUAGUUGGUGAGGUAACGGCUCACCAAGGCAACGAUGCGUAGCCGACCUGAGAGGGUGAUCGGCCACACUGGGACUGAGACACGGCCCAGACUCCUACGGGAGGCAGCAGUAGGGAAUCUUCCGCAAUGGACGAAAGUCUGACGGAGCAACGCCGCGUGAGUGAUGAAGGCUUUCGGGUCGUAAAACUCUGUUGUUAGGGAAGAACAAGUGCUAGUUGAAUAAGCUGGCACCUUGACGGUACCUAACCAGAAAGCCACGGCUAACUACGUGCCAGCAGCCGCGGUAAUACGUAGGUGGCAAGCGUUAUCCGGAAUUAUUGGGCGUAAAGCGCGCGCAGGUGGUUUCUUAAGUCUGAUGUGAAAGCCCACGGCUCAACCGUGGAGGGUCAUUGGAAACUGGGAGACUUGAGUGCAGAAGAGGAAAGUGGAAUUCCAUGUGUAGCGGUGAAAUGCGUAGAGAUAUGGAGGAACACCAGUGGCGAAGGCGACUUUCUGGUCUGUAACUGACACUGAGGCGCGAAAGCGUGGGGA
Molecule: ribosomal RNA, 711 nt
Filed under: Bacillus thuringiensis
Lineage: Bacteria; Bacillati; Bacillota; Bacilli; Caryophanales; Bacillaceae
Description: bacterial SSU rRNA
Rfam family: Bacterial small subunit ribosomal RNA
Source: RNAcentral